UGCAAGAUCGCUUCUUCACUUGUGUUGAACUUCAUUCCGUACACAGCUCCUUAUUCAGGCUUACAACCGGAACUCAUGACUUAUCUGGUACAGGGAUACCAAAGUCAAAGGCAGUGAUAAUACCUGAACUCUUAAGGAUGUAGAGCAAUCUAUAUCUGAGUGGGAAGGAACUUAUGAGCUAGCCUUCUGUUACUAUGGAGUGAUCCAUAGUUUGCUAACCCAUUUAGGGGACUGGUGGCGGUUUUGCCGCUUAUCAGUCUGUAGCGUGCCUCUGUUACACUCCAGAUAGUUACGAGUACGGGGGAUUAGUGUUCAAAUCCGGAGAAGGAGCCUGAGAAACGGCUACUGGUACUAAGGUGUACAGCAGGCGCGAAACUUGCCCAAUGAUAGCUCGCUAUCGAGGCAGUGAUAAGAAAUAAGCACCUUCUCUUUUGAGAAGGGUACAUUGUGCAUUAUGCGCAUGUUAACAAUGGUAAGGUUAUAGCAACGCCUUAGAGGAACAAUCAGAGGGAAAGUCAGGUGCCAGCAUCCGCGGUAAUACCUGCUCUGAGUGUCUAUGAUAACGUUGCUGCGGUUAAAACGUUCGUAGCUUACAUAGGGAAUAGUUGGUUGAUGUCAAGUUUUCAGCAUGUCUUGAAUCUUCAGUUUUAGCUGGGAAACAGGAUAACCUUAGGGUGACCCUUGUGGUUUGUCUGAGUUCUUUCUGCAGCACUCCAUUCCAGUUACUUAUCCUUAAGGAAUUGGUAUUGGUUUUUGCUGUGGCAUCACCAAUUACUCCAAAUCCCUCUUUCCCGUGAGCAAAUCAAAGUGAUCAAGGCACGAUUUGUUGGUUGUCUCUCUCUUUUGAGAGAGUUCAGCCUAUGAUGUAAAAUGUUCCAGCACGGAACCUAUUAUACCAACAGUUUUGGCUGUUGGAUCAGAAAACGAAGCCAGAUUCAAGUGAGUUGUACUUACUGAUCAGGGGUGAAAUCCGUAUAGUCAGUAAAGACGAACGGAGGCGAAAGCUACUCACUAGGACUGAUUUGUCGGUGAGGGUCGAGAGUCAAGGGAGCAAAGAUGAUUAGAUACCGUCGUAGUCUUGACCGUAAACGAUCCAGGCAAGUUUUGGGAAAGAACCUUUAGCCAGAUCUUAUCCAGAGUCCCGGGAAACCCUUAGCUUUCGUGGUCCGGGGGGAGUAUGCUCGCAAGGGUGAAACUUAAAGGAAUUGACGGAAACUUACCACCAGGAGUGGAUUCUGCGGCUUAAUUCGACUCAACACGUGGAAACUUACCAGGUCCAGAUUGUAGGAAGAUUGACAAGCUACAGACUUUUCUUGAUUGACAAAACAGUGGUGCAUGGUCGUUCUAAGUUCGUGGAUUGGUCUGUCUGCUUAAUUGCGAUAACGAGCGAGAUCUUAGUUGCUACUUGGUAGCUGUUAACCUAUUGGUUACAGGAGUUAUGGUAAAGCGCCAUUUAUUGGUUGCUAAGCCUCCUCAUAGCAAGACUUCUGGCGAUCUUUUUUCCAGUUUUAGGGAUGGUGAAGGCUAGAACAGAUCCGUUAUGCCCUUAGAUGUUCUGGGCGGCACGCGUAAUACAAUGCUAUGUUCAUUAGGCCUGUACUUGGAGCAGCAAUGUUCUGAGAGCAUACCUAACUGGAAAUAGUAAGGAAAACCACGCAAUACCUUCGUAAAUCUGGGAUAGUGGCUUGCAAGUUCCACUUCAACCAGGAAUUCCUAGUAAGCGAAGUUCAACAUACUAC
This 1739-nucleotide ribosomal RNA is filed under the name Pseudoharpagon longus. RNAcentral's name for it is "SSU rRNA". It matches the Rfam family "Eukaryotic small subunit ribosomal RNA", at positions 58 to 1639 of the family's 1831-position model. Lineage: Eukaryota; Heterolobosea; Eutetramitea; Lyromonadida; Psalteriomonadidae. The record is from RNAcentral.